Molecule: RNA transcript, 3528 nt
Organism: Lycium barbarum (goji berry)
Lineage: Eukaryota; Viridiplantae; Streptophyta; Magnoliopsida; Solanales; Solanaceae
Gene name: uridine 5'-monophosphate synthase
Exons: 2
Source: RefSeq, a predicted model, not a curated record
GAAAGGCACGUGAUGUGGAUUAAGUAAAGUGUAUCAAGGACGAGCAUGACAAAGUAUUGGUAGAGGAGACUCUCAUUAGACGGAGAUGACAGUCAUACUUCUGCAAACUCUUGAAUGAAGAAGGGGACAGAGACAUUGUGUUGGGAGAAUUAGAACAUACAGGAAGGCGUCACGAUUUUGGGUAUUGCAGGAGUAUUAAGGUUGACGAGGUUAAGGGUGCUGUUCGUAGGAUGCGCAGGGGAAGAGCGACCGGACCUGACGAGAUUUCUGGGAAUUCUGGAAGAGCGUGGGCCCGGCAGGUUUGGAGUGGCUGACUAGGUUGUUUAAUGUCAUCUUCAAGACAACAUUGAUGCCCGAAGAAUGGAGGGCGAGUGUAAUGAUCCCUCUAUACAAGAAUAAGGGAGAUAUCCAGAGUUGCAACAACUAUAGAGGUAUCAAGCUGCUAAGCCAUACUAUGAAAGUGUGGGAAAGGGUGGUGGAGAUGAGGGUGAGGAGAGGUGUGUCUAUUUCAGAGAACCAGUUCGGAUUCAUGCCGGGACGCUCAACUACAGAAGCCAUCCAUCUUGUGAGAAGGUUGGUGGAGCAGUACAGGGAGAGGAAGAAGGACUUACACAUGGUAUUCAUCGACCUAGAAAAGGCUUAUGACAAAGUUCCAAGACAAAUCCUAUGGAAAUGCUUGGAGGCUAAAAGUGUACCUGUGGCGUACAUUAGGGUGAUCAAGGACAUGUAUGAGGGAGCCAAAAUCAGGGUAAGGACAGUAGGAGGAGACUCAGAGCAAUUUCCAGUUGUGAUGGGGUUGCAUCAAGGAUCAGCUCUUAGUCCGUUUUUAUUUGCCUUGGUGAUGGAUGAAUUGACACGACAAAUUCAAGAUGAGGUGCCAUGGUGUAUGUUGUUCGCGGACGACAUAGUCCUGAUCGACGAGACUCGUAGCAGAGUUAACGCUAAGCUGGAGAGUUGGAGACAUACUCUGGAGUCUAAAGGGUUUAAGCUGAGUAGGACCAAGACAAAGUACUUGGAGUGUAAGUUCAGUGAAACACCUCAGGAGGCUGGCUUGGAAGUGAGACUUGGUACCCAGGCCAUCCAGAAGAAAAGUAAUUUCAAGUACCUUGGGUCUAUUCUGCAAAGCUGCGGGGAGAUUGACGAUGAUGUCACACAUCGUAUUGGGGCAGAGUGGAUGAAAUGGAGGCUUACUUCCGGAGUGCUAUAUGACAAGAAGGUGCCACCAAAACUUAAGGGCAAGUUCUAUAAAGUAGUGGUUAGACCGACUAUGUUGUAUGGGGCGGAGUGUUGGCCGGUUAAGAUCUCUCACGUUCAAAAGAUGAAAGUUGUCGAGAUGAGAAUGUUAAGAUGGAUGUGUGGCCACAUCAGGAGUGACAGGAUUAGGAAUGAGCAUAUUCGGGAUAAGGUGGGGGUGGCCUCGGUGGAAGAUAAGAUGCGAGAAGCGAGAUUGAGAUGGUUUGGGCAUGUGAAGAGGAGAGACACAGAUGCCCCAGUGCGGAGGUGUGAGAGGUUGGCCAUGGAUGGUUUCAGACGAGGUAGGGGUAGAUCGAAGAAGUAUUGGGGAGAGGUAAUUAGACACGACAUGGCGCAACUACAGCUUACCGAGGACAUGACCUUAGAUAGGAGGGUUUGGAGGACCCAAAUUAGGGUAGAAGGCUAGUAGAUAGUCUCGUUUUUCGGUCUUAUUAGUAGUCGCAUUAUCGCAAUAUAAUUUCUUCUGCUCAGCUUUCUGCUAUUAUCUGUUAUUUCCUGUGCUUUGAUUAUCUUGUGUUAUUUGUGCUGCUUGCAUUAUUCCAUUUCAUAUCGCUUUGAAUCCCCUAACCUUAUCUGACUUCUUUUUAUGCUUUUAUUGAGUCGAGGGUCUUUCGGAAACAGCCGUCCUACCUUGGUAGGAGUAAGGUCUGCUUACACUCUACCCUCCCCAGACCCCACGAUGUGGGAUUUCAUUGGAUUGUUGUUGUUGUUGUCAAGCAAUAAACCCAAAUUAAAAUUAAUCUUAAAAAGGGGCUAAAAUUGGGCUAGUAUUGGGCAAAAUUGGAGAAUAUUUUAAAAUGGGUUAUGUUGGGUUGGGCUGAAAUCAGCCCAAUACAAAAUUAUCUAAAGCCCAACCCAUAAAAAUUUGGGCCCCCACGAUGUGGGAUUUCACUGGAUUGUUGUUGUUGUUGUCAAGCAAUAAACCCAAAUUAAAAUUAAUCUUAAAAAGGGGCUAAAAUUGGGCUAGUAUUGGGCAAAAUUGGAGAAUAUUUUAAAAUGGGUUAUGUUGGGUUGGGCUGAAAUCAGCCCAAUACAAAAUUAUCUAAAGCCCAACCCAUAAAAAUUUGGGCGGGUUGGGCAGUCCAUCAACUUUUGGGUCAUGUUUGACACCCCUAGUGACCAUCAUGGCCUCAACUAAAUUGAGAGCCUAUUACAGUUUUACCUCCACUCAACACUUUUGGAUUUGCAAUAGAAUGAUUAAAUUAAACUCAUUUCAUCUCCAGGGUGCUAUGAGAAUUUGAAACCUUAUUGUACUCUGGGAUUUGUCUAACCCUGUUAUCCUUUUCAUGAAUAUACAAUAUUUGUUGCUCGCAACAUUAAACUAGUGAGGCAACUUUUUUCUCGAUGAACUGGAGAAGCAAAUUUUAUCCAUAAGAUGGCUUUUAUGCCAAACAUCGGACCUUGAUGAUUUAGUGAUUGAAAUGUACAUAUAAAAGAAACGGUUAGUGAAGGGAUGAUCCUGGCCUCCUACAAAACUAAGCUUAUGAUCUCUAUGUUAUAUACUUCACCUUUGCAUGUGGAUCGUCAUUGCAGACAAUAUUUGCUUAACGAGAUAACGUCCUAAUUCUUAGCAGCUCACGAAAGAUGUGUUUCUGCUGUAAAAAUGGACGAAGAACAAUUGGUAGGCUUUAGGUGGCCAGCCAAGGAGUAUUUGGUUGCCCAUAAAGACCCUACCAACAUUAAAAAUUUUACAGAUAAAAAAAAAUUGCUUAACAAGACAGCAAGGGACCACACAUUUAUUUGUGAUAACAUCUGAGUACCACAAUAUUCAUUGAGGUGGAGCAUUUAUUUGUCAUCAUAUUGUUGGGCUGUUGCCCAGGGUGUUUUGACAGGUCAAUUGGUUUUGUAGUCCUCUACAAAUAUGUUUUUAGUUUUACAAUGGAUCUUUAUUUAUACCCAUAAGUGGUAUGAAAAUAACACGCAAAAGGGUCAUUUUCUUCAAUUCAAAUUGUAAAGGGCUAUGUUCAUCCAUUUUCUCGUGUUUUAGCUUUGUGAUUCUGCAGCAAUUGCAUGACACAGUUUUUUUUUUUCGUUUUACUUUUUGUGGGGACUGGGGGGUUCGACCUUCUCUCCGCUACCUUACAGAAUGUCUGGUGCAAGUUUACCAGCUUGUACCUGCCUAAACUGCAAGUUUACCGUAAUUGCUGAUAGGGGCAGUGAUAUUAUUAUUGUUGGCCGUGGAAUUAUAAAGGCUGCUAACCCCGCAGAGGCAGCUCGUGAAUACCGGCUUCAAGGGUGGGAUGCAUAUUUAGUGAACUGCAAGUAGAGUCAUUU